Molecule: long non-coding RNA, 9355 nt
Filed under: Solanum tuberosum (potato)
Lineage: Eukaryota; Viridiplantae; Streptophyta; Magnoliopsida; Solanales; Solanaceae
Description: long non-coding RNA (STUB_LNC006715)
Source: RNAcentral
GAUAUCGAAGUCCCAAAAAGGGCCAUGUUAGUAAGAUAUAGAGCCAAAGAGGUUUAUUGGAACAGAGAUUAUAUAUUACCUGAGAGGUGAUCUUGUGAACAAGAUCAUCAUAGUCUGGAAGAGUGAGGGGAUCUUGUAUUGGAAAUGGAAUAAAUUCGUAAGGGAGAGCAUAUGGCAAAGAUAGGAUGACUUCUUUGAAGACAUCUGCACAGAAACCAGUUGCUGUUACUGCUUGUGUUUUUGAAUCUCUUUCCACUUUAAUGAGUUGCUCCAGCCCUCCUUUGAGAGGAACUCCAACCCUUAACUUCUUCCCACUUGUGGGCAUUUCCCAGCCUCUUGGAACAAUAGUUGAUUCACCAGGCCAAAAAAUGGCUCCUAGUUGCUUAUUAUUACACUUAACUGCUGUUUUACCAUUCAUCUUCAGUUUACACGAAAUGCCAUCCCUCUUCGUCCAAAAUCCAAUGUUUUUCUCUCCUUUCCCAAUUAUAUUCACAAUCUGAUAUGGGAUUGGCUGCAGUUCUCCAUUGAUGAUACGGAAAUCACCACUUAAUCCUUGUUUUAGCACUGUGUUUCGCAUAGAGUCAAUGAGCAGAGAUCCCACUGCUGACGUUCCAAGUGCAUCUAAGUCUGUUAAGUUCUCUCUGGUGUCUGGUUUCUUUAAUUUUGGGAUAGCAGUAGUGCCUACUUUAUCUACUGCUUCUGCUAAUGAGGUGAUGCUAUCGUAUGCCCAUAGCCCAAAAACAUUGAGUUCUAUUUGGUCCAUGUCUGGAUACUCUUGACGGAAUCUCUUUCUCCAUCUCUUUGUGUAGUUGUUAAGCUGAUUUGAUCUUGGAAUGUAAGGUUUUAUACCAAGAACACCUUGCAUUGAUGACUCGAUCACUGAAUGAUCUACCAAGUCCAGAAGACUCGUUAGCACAUCUGUGAUGAUCCAUGCAUAUCCACUGCUCAUCAUCCCUGCUUCUUUGGCCUUGAGAAAAAGGCGGGAGGCAAGAUAUGGACGCAAGUGCACGACGAACACCCUUGUUUGCUUUGUAUUCAUAUUGUAUAACUCCUUGAGAAUCUGAUCAUCAUUGGCUGACGGAGAAAUAACACUUCUAUAGGAGACUAAAGUGCUGAUUUCCAGUAAGGCAUCAGUCAAAUGUGGAACUAUCCCGAACCCAUAGGGGCUAUCCUCAUAGAUGACCACAACCUCCCUCCAAUCAAAGUUUUUAACAAGUGCUGCAAUGGCCUUAGUCUGGCUGGAAGAAGGAAGUGCUGCUCUGAUGAAGAAGGGAUUUUCCUUGACUGUAAGUAAAGGACUUGUUGCUGGAGAAAUGAUUGGGACUUUUACUCUGUUCCCUAAGUCGAUCACAAAAUCAGUUUGUGUAGACAUUUGUGGCCCAAAGAUAGCUUGUACUUGGACAUCCUUUAGCAAGUAUAUGGCUGCACAUACACAAUCAGACAAUAAGAAUUUACCCAAAGUAAGAGUUUAAUAGAAGUGAAUCAUGGAACUGAAUUUACCAGCAGAUGUUGCUUCAACAUCAUCUUUCUUGGAAUCCUUGAUAUGAGGAACUAUCCUUAUGGCACCGCGACUAGCGUUGGCAUGAUAAUCUUCAAGUGCUAGUAAGAUAGAUAUGUGCAUUACUUUUCCCACAUCUGUUUCCAGAUCAAGAAUUAUACCCACAUCCACCUUUACAGCACUAGUGUUAUUAUCUUCACCUCUUAUUCGAACCACAUAGUGGUAAAAGCUAAUGAUGGAGAUAAGUUGAAAUGAAAAGAAUUAGAAAAGUGGCAUCUUGGAUUAUGCAUUUGAAAAAACUCUGGUAGCAAGUAGUCUGAGAGAUGGGCAACAAGCAGUUGUGCUUGUGCAAGAUAACCACACAUUCAGAAUGACAAUUUUCCUAUAAUUAAUAAGACCAAACUCCAUAAAUGAAGAAAGAAAAGUCAAAGAACAAAUGGUUGAAAAUCAAGUAUUCGUUUGAUUAUUGAAAGUGAGGACUUUUCACAUAUGCUACAACCGCACAGCUAGUAAGCAUAUUACCCCUCAGGUUUGACUAAAUAAAAAUUUGACAAAAUUGAUUGGUACUCAUUCCCCAACACCCAAUUACUUUUUGUGUGUACUAUCUAGAGGAUAUAUUCAAGGGAACUUACAUGAAUUCAACUAAUUUAGGAGUUAAUUACUUAAAUACAUUGUAGUUUGCAAUAUUACGUAUUUUACUAGAUUUUGGUAUGUCCAGAUACAUUCAGAUACAUAUAUGUGAGGUUACUUAGGAUCAAAAUUAGGUGUAAUUUGCUCUAGAUGCAUUGUAUCUAAGUGACUUUGCAUGUAUCUGGGAUACAUAACAAAUCUCGCUCGCCUCUCUCCCAUCUCUCACUCUCCUAUGUAUCUGAUAUUCCAUAUACAUGUGAAUCACACCAGAUACAUACACAUAAAUGUAUCUUAUGUGUAUAUAGUGUGAUUCGCAUGUAUCUGGGAUACAUAACAAAUCCCGCUUGCCUCUUUCCUCAUCUCGUUCCCCUAUCUUCCUAUUUUUGUGUAUCUGAUGGCAAAAAUUCAUGUAGCCAAAUGUAUUUUCCUCAAUAUAUGAUAGGAAACUCUUAAUUAGUGAUAGUAUACGAAAUAUUUUAAAAGUAUAGAAUAUAAUAGUAUAUAUGAUAGUGAAGUAUGUCUAAUGAUAUAGUUUUUCUGUAUUGAAAGGACUUCCCAAAUUUUGGCUGAGGCAUAAAAAGUUGACAAAUUUAGCUCAGUUACAAAUUCCACAAUUAAACCAAUAAGUAGAAGAGACCAUUGUUUUCCAACUUGGACAAGGCUAGAUACGACUAGUAAUCUUUAGUUUACGCGUUUUCAGUUACUAGUCUUUGGACACGUGCGUUGCACGUAUAUCCCAUAUUAUAUGGUUGCAUAAUAUAUGUCUAUAGUUACAAAUAUAUGUAUAAAAAAAAAUUGAUUGUGAUAUAAAUUGGAAAACAUGUAUAAGAUAAGAAAUCAAAACAGAUACCCUCAAAUUUCAAACUAUAAGCAUAAUAAGAAUAUGUAUUUCUAAUGAGUUUAAUCAAUCAUACCUUGCAAUAAUCUCUGCAAUUCAUUGAGAAACUUUCAAUCCAUACAUCAACAUUCAAUCGUGUAUAUAUAAAGAAAACUUGAAAUGCAUAACAACAAUUAUAUCUAUAUUUUUUAAAACACUAUAAAGUCAUUUUUUCUUUUUGCAUUAUAAUAUGGAUUGCACACAAUUUCUAUUAAAAAAAAGAAAGACAAAAUUAGGAAAAAUCGUAUCAAUAAAUUGGAAUGAAAAAUGUAAAAUUGUAAUAAGAGGAAGAGAAGAAAAAUACAGUAGAAUAUAUUACCUAACCAUGAAUAAGGAAGUAUGUUGAGUAAAAGAAGAGUAAUGCAAAAGUGUGAACUGAUAUAUGGAGGAAAUUGACAAAUAUAAUAAUCUAUAUUGAAUAAUGAAAAACAACUCUUCAAUUUCUGCAAAAAUUUUAUAACUACGAGCUCAAAAUAAUAUAAAUUUAUUAAUUUAAUAAAUGACAUAAAUAAAUAAAUAACAUAUAUUGUGUGUAUGUGUAGUUAAUGGGGUAGUGAAAAAGACUCUUUCUGAAAUUAUUUUUAUCUCUUUAAAGUAAUUUUGAACUUUUGAUAUUAGUGCUAUAGAAAAUCAUAUAAAGUCAUAAGCCACUGCAAGUUUUUAUAGUAAUUAUCUUAUUAAAUUAUAUACCUAUUAUUAUUUUUAAUUAUUUAUAAUCAUUCCGAAAAUGUAUAAAUUAAUUUUGAAAAGCUUGUAAAAUGAGAAAUUAUUAUUUCUUAUCAUUAUUUUAGCUAUUAUUAACAUUUAGUAUGACAACAUUUUAAAAAAGCAGCUUCCUUUAAAUAUUAAUUGUUUCUAAAUUAACAUAGCCAAGAAUUUAAAAUGUUGUGACGUUUUGUUUAUCUAAACACGCAGAAUUUUGUUUUUGAACCUGGAACAUGUAAUUAAGCCUUGGGUGAAUUAUAAUUUUAUUUUUACUAUUUAAUUAAUUAAAUAAUUUGUAACAUUUUAAUAUAAUGAAGGGGUAAAAUGGUAACUCAACUUUAAAGGUUGGAGCUUCCCACUUUUAGUAAUAUAUGAUAAAUUGGUCAGUAGUAGUAACCUAGUUUAAUUUGAUAUAAUAACAUUCAUGACAAAAUAAAUUAAAUAUGGCUAAUUAAGAAAAUAUAAUUAAAUAUGAUUAUCUUUAAUGUUAUUUAAAUUUGUAGGCGAUUUUUUUUGUAUUUUAAAAUUAAAAAAAGGCCAAAAAACCCACAAAAAGAGAUAAAUAGGAUUGAAGCCCUUAGAGAGCGUCACCUCACCGUUUUCAUAUUCAACUUUAUUAUUAUAUAUGGAUUUAGAUUUUUGCACAACCUUAAAUUUAAGGACACAUUUAGAUAUUAUAUCAAACAUUCAUUUAUUUGAAGUUGAAAUUACAUUUUACAUGAAAAUUGGAUAUUCCAUAUUCACAUUGAGUAUGAAUCUUUUUGUUUUUUUUACAAAAUUCAAAAUAAAAAAAUACAAAACAUAAACUUAUAGAUCAAAUUUUACAUUUGACAUUUGAAAGUUUUACUUUUCAUUAAACGUUUUGUUAUAGAAUUUGGAAUCGCCCUUUGAAAUUAGUAUUUAUAAAUGAAAAUAUUGAUCUAGUCCUGUUGAAAUUGUGUCUGGCCUAGUACUUUUUCUUAUUAGAGUGAUUAUUGAAUUAGGUUUAAUAUCAAUUUUCUUAAUUAGUUUUGUCAAUUGGCAGUGCUAAGAAGAUGGGAAUUUACGUUAUAUUAAAUUAUCUUUACAUUAAUAAAAAAAGAAAUUGUUGUUAGUAUUAUUUGUAAUAUAAUUAAACAAAAAUAACAAUGGGAAGAAAAUAAUAAGUAAAGAUUACACGUUGUAUUAAAAUAAUAAGUAUUAAAAAUUAUGAUAAAUUUUAUAAUAGUCAUAACAGGAAUUUACGCAAUAAUUACUAUAUUAGAAUACUAGAAAAAUUGAUAAGUUCCUCGACAUCUAAUCAUUGAUUAAAAUUUAAAUUAUUAUUUUCUUCUGCGAAAGUUUAAGAGAUUAAAUUAAUGUUUUAAAAAAUAAUAUUAAUUAUUUUCAAUGAUUAAUAAGAAAAUGUAUAUAGCAAGUACAUGUAUUAUUAUUACAUUAUUUAUAUCCACUCUAUAUUAAAUCAUUUUUCUAUUAUAGUUUGACGCAAAUUUCAGAAUGUAAAGAAUGUUUUGGAUUCGAAAAAUAAAUAUUCAAAAUAUACUAACAUGUCAUUUAAUCUUAUGAUAUUUUACAUUUCAUGUGAAAAAAAAUUAAAUAUUAAUUUUUUAAUAUGAAAAAUAUUAAUUUAUUAAUACAACAUAAAAGUAAUAAAGGACAAUAUAUAAAAAUAUUUGAAGUAUUUGAUAUUUUAUUAAAUUAAAAUAAUUCUAAAUUAAUAUAUAGCCGCGCAACGCGCGGGUACGUAUACUAGUGAAGAACAAUAAUAAAGAAGAAGACAAUUGAGUUAAUAUUUAUUUUUUCCAAGUUUAAUUUAACACAUGACCAGUUUUUAUUGGUCAGUGCUGUCAAAAAGUUGCACCCACGCGCCUAAAAUAGGUGAAAUCACGGACUCAGCCACGUAGGCCAAAAAGUGGUAAACAAUUAACUAAAAAAUAAGUUCAGGGGGGUAAUAGGACUUUAGUAAAGGUUAGGUGUGUCUCAGGGAUUUUGGGCAUAGGCUGGGGGGGUACUUAUGCAUUUUCCCUUAUGUUAAAUAUACCAAAAUGUUUUUUAAUCUUAUGACUUUAAACAUGUCACGUGAAAAACUGAAAUUAAAGUGUUGCCAAAAAAAGAAGGGUCAUUUUUUUUAAACAGACUAAACAGAAAAGUAGAUCUUUUUAAAACGGAAGGGAAGUAAUUGUUAAUGCAAGAGGAAGCUGCUUGAAAAGUUACGUAUAUGAUGUUGAAGUUGUCUAACAUGCAAUGCUGGUCCUAUAAUCUUUCAUUAUUUAUUAUCCAUGACUAUGGGUGGAUAAUAAUAGUUAUCUGCUAUGAUCAUAUAUACCUAGGGGUGGACAUAUUACUUAGAAAACUUAUGUUAGGUAAUUUUGAUUUCUAAAAAUACUAUAUGGUGUAUGCUAUUUGCAGAUGAUAGUCCUAAUCGACCAGACUCGUAAUAGAGUUAAUGUUAAGCUAGAGAAGAUAAUAAUGGCUCCCUUCUCAAAUAUUUCAUUGGUAGAAAUUUGCCUUCCAGAAUUUCAUAAUUGCAUCUGAUCCUUUCUGAUAACUCAAAGGGCAUCUUAAAUUGGUGCGGAAGUUUAAUUUUGACAUGGAACGCAAAUAUAUGCGGAAAAUUAGUAAUUCAAUAAAUAUUUAAUUAUGAAUGCAUAUUACAAAAGUGCAAGGAAUUCAAUUGUAAGAUGUUGAAGGUUAAACCCAUAAAUUCUAAAUACUAGAGACGCCUCUUAAUGCAAAUAUAAUAUGGUUUAACUAUUUUAAACCUGGCUCAUCUCUCUUAAGUUGUCCCUGUAAUGUUUUCAUGAACUGGAGUUCCAGGUUCUGUUGUAGAGAACCCUUCAAGUGCAGGGGAUGCUCCUAAGCCGUCGGAAAUUCUGAUUUCUGGGCUUUGCAAAGGAAGGUGGGGCAAUAUUUCAGUAGAGGCUUCACUUUCUGCAAACAGCAUAGCUGUUUGGAUUUCAUUGCCUUCAGAUGGCUCUUCUGACAUAGAAUUAGAGUUGUCUCUCUCUUUAUCAAAGGCAUUUGCUAUUGCAGAAAGCUUUUGCCAUACUGAAUCAUCAGUGGCUAAGAUUUCUCUAUUCUGAUAAAGGAAGAUGAGGAAGAAUAGGAGAAGAGCGGAGCCCGCUGAUACACCAGCUAUGAGGAAAAGGCCCUUAAAACUAUCGAGCAUGAGGCUAGAUGCUAUAGCCAUUCCAUCUUGCUUUGGACAAUCUGUUUCAUUCCCAAACCAUUUCUGUAUUAUGUUAUUCAUAAACUCUCCUUCCAUCACCUGCAAGACUGCUCUUGAGACGUCAGGUACCAAAGGAGAUCCUUUUGGAAAUGCCUGCCAGAAGUUGGGGGAAAAUAAAAGAUUAAAUUAUUGAGUAGAACAUAAACCAUUCUAAACAAAUGUAAACACGUUCUGAAACAUCACUGGAGUGCAACAUUCUUACGAAUCCAAAGCCAGCAGCCUUGUAUGUCGGACCGACCAUAAUAUACUUCCUGCAAUACUUGUUGAGGAAGAGUCUGAGAUAAGGUAGUUCAUCAACAAUUGCACCAACACCUCCAUUUUUACUUCCUCUUGAGAGGGCAUUACUAUACUCUUCCAAUGUGCUAUAACUUAUGAACUUGGAACUGUCAAACUUCAUGUGCUUCAAGACAUCUUUGACAAAGGAACCUUCUUGGUACCCAACAUAUUCUCCAUUCUUGAUCAGAUCAUUGAGGUCAGUUAUAGAAGGUUGGAGCUGUUGCACUGUCAACAUAGAUGUUAAGUUGGCUGUAUAACUUGAUGUCAGCACCAGAACCACGAAAACCCACACAAUCAGCACAAAUCUUGUGAAGUUACUAGUAACCCUCUCUCCUGAAACAACCAGCCAUAUAUAUGAUUUGUUGAGAAACAAGGAUAAAUCCUAAAGCUUUUUGUAUAUAAUUUGCUUUGUGUUAGAGACUUACUAUGAGCAAAAACGAGAGUUGAGAAGGAAAACCAGAAUAUCAUCCCAACUUGCUUGUGUUUGGGUCCUCGAAACUCUUUGUUUACACGAUGUUCAAGUACCCAAACCACAAAACCAAUGAAGAUGAAGAAUCCUCCUGUUGUUAUCCAAAGCUCGCUCUUUAGAGGUUUCAAGAAAAUCCAAGCAUUCUUUCUAUCAUCAUUCUUUACCGACACAACAGCAGAAAUACCGGACUCUGAAAAAGGUAAUGUGAAAUCCACAUACUUGGCUCGGCUCGCUAAAAUGGUCACAUCACCUACAACUGCAUCAUAUUCCUGGUUCAAGCAAACAACGAUUAUUUUAGUAUAUAUGGUUGAUCUCAGUCAAAGAAGAAAGUAGAUAUGGAAGUCCCGGAAAGGAGCAUGUAAGGUAUUCAGCCAAAAAGGUUAAUUCAAAAAAGAAUUGGAUAUUACCUUUGAGGAGAUCUUGUAAACAAGAUCAUCAUAGUCUUGAGAAGUGGGGCUAACUAUUGGAAAUGGAAUAAAUUCGUAAGGGAUGGCGUAUGGCAAAGAUUGGAUAACUUCUUUGAAGACAUCUGGAAUGAAACCAGUUGCAGUUACUGCUUGUGUUUUGGCAUCUAUUUCCACUUUAAUGAAUUGCUCCAGCCCUCCUUUGACAGGAACUCCAACCCUCAACUUCUUCCCACUUGUGGGUAUUUCCCAGCCUCUCGGAACAAUAAUAGAUUCACCAGGCCAAAUGAUGGCCGCUAGUUGCUCAUUCAUACUCUUAGCUGUUUUACUAUUCAUCUUCAGUUUAUGCGAAAUGCCAUCCUUCUCGGUCCAGAAUCCAAUGCUUCUCUCUCCUUUCCCAAUUAUAUUCACAAUCUCAUAUGUGUAUAGCUGCAAUUCUCCAUCAAUGAUACGGAAUUCACCACUUAGUCCUGUUUUUGGCUUUGUAUUUCGCAUAGAGUCAAGGAGCAGAGAUCCAAAUUCUGAGGUUCCAAGUGCAUCUAAGUCCGUUAAAUUCUCUCUAGUGUCUGCUUUCUUGAAUUUUGGGAUGAUGGUAGUGCCCACUUUUGCUAUUGCUUUUGUUAAUGCGGUGAUGCUAUCAUAUGCCCAUAGCCCGUAAACAUUGAGUUCAACUGGGUCCAUGUCUGGAUACUCUUGACGGAAUCUCUUUCUCCAUCUCCUCGUGUAAUUGUUAAGCUCAUUUGAUCUUGGAAUAUAAGGUUUUAUACCAAGAACACCUUGCAUUGAUGACUCAAUUACUGAAGUAUCUACCAGGUCCAGAAGACUCGUUAGCACAUCUGUGAUGAUCCAUGCAUAUCCACUGUUCAUCAUCCCGGUUUCUUUGGCCUUGAGGAAAAGGCGGGAGGCAAGAUGUUCUUGCAAGUGCACAAUGAACACCCUGGUCUGCAUUGUCUUCAACUUGUAUAGCUCCCUGAGGAUUUGAUCAUCAUUGGCUGAAGGAGAAAUACCACUUCUAUAGGAGACUAAAGUAUUGAUUUCCAGCAAGGCAUCAGUCAAAUAUGGAAGUAUCCCGGUUCCAUAGGGGCUUUCCUCAUAGAUUACUACAACCUCCCUCCAAUUAUAGUUUUUAACAAUUGCUGCAAUGGCUUUAGUCUGACUGGAAGAAGGAAGUGCGCCUCUGAUGAAGAAGGGAUUUUCCUUGACUGAAAGUGAAGGACUAGUUGCUGGAGAUAUUAUAGGAACUUUAACUCUGUUCCCCAAGUCGAUCACAAAAUCAGUUUGUGUAGAC